GAUGAAGAACGUAGCGAAAUGCGAUAAGUAAUGUGAAUUGCAGAAUUCAGUGAAUCAUCGAAUCUUUGAACGCACAUUGCGCCCCUUGGUAUUCCGAGGGGCAUGCCUGUUCGAGCGUCAUUAUAACCCCUCAAGCUCAGCUUGGUGUUGGGGCCUGCCGCACGGGCAGCCCUUAAAAUCAGUGGCGGUGCCAUCUGGCUCUAAGCGUAGUAAUUCUUCUCGCUAUAGAGUCCCGGUGGAUGCUUGCCAUUAACCCCCAAUUUUCUAUGGUUCACCUCGGAUCAGGUAGGGAUACCCGCUGAACUUAAGCAUAUCAAUAAGCGGAGGA
This 328-nucleotide unclassified non-coding RNA is filed under the name soil metagenome. RNAcentral's name for it is "partial contains 5.8S ribosomal RNA, internal transcribed spacer 2, and large subunit ribosomal RNA". The stretch from base 1 to 120 matches the Rfam family "5.8S ribosomal RNA", at positions 35 to 154 of the family's 154-position model. The record is from RNAcentral.